This 372-nucleotide small RNA is filed under the name Histoplasma capsulatum var. duboisii H88. RNAcentral's name for it is "Histoplasma capsulatum H88 hypothetical RNA". Lineage: Eukaryota; Fungi; Ascomycota; Eurotiomycetes; Onygenales; Ajellomycetaceae. The record is from RNAcentral.
UUGGCCAGGAGGACUUGUGCGGCAUCGCGCACGGAGUGGAGGGAGGUUUGGUCGCAGGCGACGAAGGUAAUGCAGUUUCCAUUGUUGGUGGUGGCCUUUAUCUCGCCAAUGAGAGAGUUGGCAGCCUGUACGUUGCGGCCAGUGAAGUAGAUAUGAGCGGGGUUGUGCUUGAUCAAUUGCUUGAUAGCUUCUUUGCCGACACCAGAAGUGCCUGUGGAUUGAAGGUAAGCAUUGUGGUCAAAACGGAGUGGGAGUGUUGGUUGGUUGGCUUACCUCCAGUGAUCACUAUCACUUUCCCUGAAAGGUCGGGGAUGUCGUUGUCGGGAUUGUAGGUGAUACUCAUUGUGCGUUAUUCGUUUUGAAUAUAGAUAU